RNAcentral lists this ribosomal RNA (368 nucleotides) under uncultured organism. RNAcentral's name for it is "bacterial SSU rRNA". It matches the Rfam family "Bacterial small subunit ribosomal RNA", at positions 526 to 896 of the family's 1533-position model. The record is from RNAcentral.
CGUAGGUGGCAAGCGUUGUCCGGAUUUAUUGGGUUUAAAGGGUGCGUAGGUGGCCCUGUAAGUCAGUGGUGAAAUAUCUCAGCUUAACUGAGAGGGUGCCAUUGAUACUGCAGGGCUUGAGUACAGAUGAGGUAGGCGGAAUUGACGGUGCAGCGGUGAAAUGCAUAGAUAUCGUCAAGAACACCGAUAGCGAAGGCAGCUUACCAAGCUGUAACUGACACUGAGGCACGAAAGUGUGGGGAUCAAACAGGAUUAGAUACCCUGGUAGUCCACACUGUAAACGUUGAUGACUCGAUGUUGGCGAUACACAGCCAGCGUCCAAGAGCAAUCGUUAAGUCAUCCACCUGGGGAGUACGCCGGCAACGGUG